Acanthochromis polyacanthus (spiny chromis) is the source of this 307-nucleotide small nucleolar RNA. NCBI's taxonomy places the organism in Eukaryota, Metazoa, Chordata, Actinopteri, Pomacentridae. The record is from RefSeq and is a predicted model, not a curated record.
GCCCAGUGAUGAGACCAAGGCGAAUACGAGCUGACUGAAUGAGAGUUGGGUUCUUCUGGCCUGGACUGGCAGGUAAUCUUGGCAGAGCAGAGGAGGAUUCCUGCUCUGCUGUAAGGGCCUGCCUACAGUGACUCUGCUCAGCCCAAAUUAUUCCUCCACAGUCACAGAGGAGUAAAUUCAGGGAUGGAGCUGACAGUGUGUGUGAGUGUUGUGUGUGUGUGUGUGUGUGUGUUGGAGGCCGGUUGUUCAUCCAGCUCUCGUUUCUGUUCAGUCGGCCAUGAGUAGCUUCUUUGGUAAUCUGAGGGCG